CUGGGACGCGCUCGCAUACCCGGAAGUUCACUUCACAACAUCAACUGGCGAGGGGGAAAAGAGGGGAGGACACGGAGAAAAGAAGUAGCUUUAAUUAAAACACCAAAGUGACUUUUCCAAACAACCUUUUGGAGUAAUUUCAGGCGUCCUUUUAACAUUUUCAAACUCACUUGCAAAUGUUCUGAGAGCAGAUAGUGUCACAUGGAGGCUAUUGUAAAGAACGUGGAGCGGACCACGGAGCUACUCGCUGUGUCGCAGACAGAGACGGUGCAGCGGUGGGACAAACAGACCCUGGACAGAGCCUUCCAAUGGACUCAGUACUGCCAACACGUCUACACAAGGUUCCAUGCAAAUCCGACCGUCACGGACAUCUUGGAAAAACAACUACAGGUGACAAACGAAAGUUUACGAACAACUUUUCAUGGGUAUAGGGACAUCACGUUUUCUGACCUGUCGCAGUGUCAACACUUGCUGCUUGUGGGGUUACUAAACAACGCCGCUGUUCCGAGCUCAGUCGUCAGACUACUUUUCGACACUAUAACUGUUGGAGGUAAAUAUAAGGACGCCACCGGUCAUUGCACUGAACUCAUAGAAGUGAAAUCAGCAUGUAAAGUCUUAAGCGCCAUUAAUUUGAAACGCAGUACGUCAUUUCCCGGUCCGGAUGCUGACGUGUUAGGCAUGACAAUGAUGGAGAUGUUGGAUAUUCUGCUCUCUCCAGCUACUGGCGGGUCCAAGGUGGGCCUAGCAGAGAAGUUAUUGGACAACGUCUUACAAACCUGUGGUGAAAAUGAAAACUUCCCAGAAGUCGUUGCUGCUGCUCUCCUGUCAAGGAAAGACGACAAAACGGCAACAAAAAUGGCUCCAGAAGGAGUUUCAUUCCACUUUAUCCUGGAUUGGCUGCAGCAACACCACAGUUUACUCCAUAAUAUGUGUUCCACGUUGCCUAUUGGUCUUUUGAUGGACCUCCACCAGCAGUCGGUGAGGUUUAGAGUGACCUACGGUAACAUGUUGAAGCAAUGGGGGUCACAGUUGGAGUAUGACGUGGGAGAAGGAGAGUGGGUUCAAAUGUAUACCACCGACGGGGUGUCGUUCAAGACACUGUCUGACCAUUAUAGGUCGUUGCUAGGGGCUUGUCCGUCAACAAAGGAGGACGUUGAGAGAGAGCUGACAGAACUGAAGGUUGCAGAUGGGGACUUUGAUGUUAGAGGUCUGAGUGUUUGGGGUGACCUCCUCUCUGAGCUGAACACGGUCUGAGGGUUUGGGGUGACCUCCUCUCUGAGCUGAACACGGUCUGAGUGUUUGGGGUGACCUCCUCUCUGAGCUGAACACGGUCUGAGUGUUUGGGGUGACCUCCUCUCUGAGCUGAACAAGGUCUGAGUGUUUGGGAUGACCUCUCUGAGCUGAACAAGGUCUGAGUGUUUGGGAUGACCUCUCUGAGCUGAACACGGUCUGAGUGUUUGGGGUGACCUCCUCUCUGAGCUGAACACGGUCUGAGUGUUUGGGGUGACC
RNA transcript from Oncorhynchus keta (chum salmon), 1509 nucleotides. It is a transcript of the gene named FA complementation group F, with no coding region annotated. Lineage: Eukaryota; Metazoa; Chordata; Actinopteri; Salmoniformes; Salmonidae. The record is from RefSeq and is a predicted model, not a curated record. The transcript has 3 exons.